This 531-nucleotide ribosomal RNA is filed under the name uncultured bacterium. RNAcentral's name for it is "bacterial SSU rRNA". It matches the Rfam family "Bacterial small subunit ribosomal RNA", at positions 791 to 1319 of the family's 1533-position model. The record is from RNAcentral.
UAGUCCACGCCGUAAACGAUGUCUACUAGCCGUUGGGAUCCUUGAGGUCUUAGUGGCGCAGCUAACGCAAUAAGUAGACCGCCUGGGGAGUACGGUCGCAAGAUUAAAACUCAAAUGAAUUGACGGGGGCCCGCACAAGCGGUGGAGCAUGUGGUUUAAUUCGAUGCAACGCGAAGAACCUUACCAGGUCUUGACAUCCUGCGAACUUUCUAGAAAUAGAUUGGUGCCUUCGGGAACGCAGUGACAGGUGCUGCAUGGCUGUCGUCAGCUCGUGUCGUGAGACGUUGGGUUAAGUCCCGUAACGAGCGCAACCCUUGUCCUUAGUUGCCAGCGAGUAAUGUCGGGAACUCUAAGGAGACUGCCGGUGACAAACCGGAGGAAGGUGGGGACGACGUCAAGUCAUCAUGGCCCUUACGACCUGGGCUACACGCGUGCUACAAUGGCCGGUACAAACGGUUGCCAACCCGCGAGGGGGAGCGUAAUCCGAUAAAACCGGUCGUAAGUCCGGAUUGGAGUCUGCAACUCGACUCC